UAUACGCAGGCCAAUGCUUCUAAUUUCAUAGCAAGCUCGCUUGCUAUGAAAUAGGCAACCAGUAAUAUAAGCAAGUGUGCGCUAUUUAUAGCGCUAGCCAACAAACCUAUAAUUAUAUUAACUCUAAGAGAAAUUUAAUAAUAAACGAAGUGAAUUGAAAUAUCUUAGUAACUUUAGGAAAAGAAAUCAAAAGAGAUUCUAUGAUUAGCGUGAGCUAAAAUAGACUAGCCUAAAAAGUCAAAUGGUGGAUAAACUGUUUAAAUUAAAUGGGGAACCUUCCUCAAAGGCUAAAUAUAAUGUAUAAGCGAUAGUGGAAAGUACCGUGAGGGAACCAAAACAAAAACAGUGAUUUUAUAAGCAGUUCGGGAAAAUAAAAAAAGUUAGAACGUACCUUUUGCAUAAUGGGUCACCAAGUUAACAUUAGAUGCGAGUAGGAGGCUUUGCCUAUGCAUACGUAGUUAAACCGAGCGUUAAAAUAACGGUAAGUAUCUAAAGUUAGACCCGAAGCCUGGUGAUUUUACCAUAAUCAGGAUUAUAAAAGUCCGAACGGAAUAUUGUAGCAUAAAUAUCCGAAGAAUUAUGGUAGGUGUAGUGAAAGACAAUACUGACCAGGAUAGCUGGUUUUCUGCGAAACCUAUAACAGUAGGCAAUUUAAGUAUAAUAUCUUAGCAGGUACAGAAUUUAAUCUCAGACAAGACAUAAGGCUUAGCUUGCUAGCAAGUAAAGCCCAUGUUUUAUUUUGUACAAAUUGGGGGAUCAUGAAGAUUUUAUCAGUGAGUAUGUAGACUCGGAAUGGCAAAGAUAUAUCUUAAAUCAUCAGACAUAGAAUGAUAAGGUUGUAUGUCAAAAGGGAAACAGCCCAGAACAAGAGUUAAGGUUCCUAAAUUAUUAGUUGAGUGAAAUUAAGAAGGUUUUUAUUAAAGUCGACAAGGAGAUAGGCUUAGAAGCAGCCAUAAUUUUAUGACCUCGUAACAGAGCGCUUGUUAAGUUUUAAAAGCAUCGAAAAUUUAUCGGAUCUAAACAAUAUACCGAAACCUUGUCCAUAUUAUUUUAUAAUUAAAGCUUAAUUAUAAUUAAAUGGGGUAGCAGAACGUUGAGCUAAAUUAAGAUUUUUAUUUUUUAAAUGAAAUUAUAAUAAUUUAACUCAAGUGAUAAUGGUGACAUGAGUAACUAAAAGAAAAAAUAAAAUUUUUCCGCCUAAAGCUUAUGGAUGUAAUUAAGUAACGGCCUCUAAGUUUAUAUUAUCUAAAGAUUUAAACGAUGAGAUAAUCUUUUGUACUAAGGACGACAUUUUAAGUGAAAAAUGUACUGGAAAAAUAGUACUAAAUUAAUGGCUAUAGCUAAUUAGUUAGCUAUAGCUAUAAAUGAAAAGUAACCGUACCUAGAAUCUGAAACAAGUAAGCUAGUAGAGAAUACGAAGGCGUAAAUGAGCUAACAAUCAUAAAGGAACUCGGCAAAUUGACUACCGUAACUUCGGGAUAAGGAGAGCUCAUUAUUCUUGAUUAAUAUCAGGUAAAGAGGAAGAAGCAUGAAAUAGUGUUGUACGACUGUUUAAUUAAAACACAGCACUUUGCUGAAAGAUUAAAAAUCUAAGUAUAGAGUGUGAUGUCUGCCCGGUGCCGGCUGGUUAACAGAUAUAAUUAAGUAUACUAAUAUUUGAUGUAGACGGAAACCCCGGUUAAAGGCGGCCUUAACGUGAGGGUCCUAAGGUAGCGAAAUGCCUUGGCCGUUAAAUGCGGUCUUGCAUGAAUGAUGUAACGAUACAACAGCUGUCUCUAUGAUUGACUCAGUGAAAUUGGAAUAGCUGUGCAGAUACAGUUUACCUCUAGUUAGACGAGAAGACCCUAUGCAGCUUUACUGUCACUAAUUAUAGAGUAUGAUAAACAAUUUUCAGAUUAUAAGGUAAUUGACGGCUAGCUUGUUUAGCAAGCUAGCUCUAUGACAAUGAGAAUCCUUUAUUUUUUUUUCAUAUGAAUGAAUUGGUUUAGGAUUAUGAGUAGGUAGCUGCUUCUGCUACUUGGCGCAAGCAUUGCUUGCGUCAGGUGUCUGAAGUAUGCAUUCCAGCUCAUGCAUAGUAAAUCAACCUAAUUCAGCUUAUUUUCCUUUCUGCCAUAAGCGCAUAAUGAUAGAUUUAACUUAAAUUUUGAUUUAUGCCAGCUGCAGAAAUAGAUAAGUACCCUUGGCUAAGGAACUAUCGCUAGGGGACAGUUUAUGUGGGGCACAGACCCUGUAAAGAGUAAACAGGAGUGUCUAAUAAUUUAUAAUUAUUUUGUUUGCGAUUUAAGAUAGUGAAACUAUUUUUAAUCAUAUAAAAUUAUUUAUAUGUACAUUCGUUGUAUAUAUAUUUAAAAAAAGGUAGGAUUUUCACUAUAUAGAAAUUAGAGAUAAUAAAAAUAUUAAGAAUAUACGUUUCAGGCGGGCGCGGCGCAAGCUCGCUCCCUUUGAAACGUAGCACUAAUAUUUUUUAGCUAUUAAGACAGGCUAUCAAGCUAGGCUCUAAUAGUUAUGUAUUAAUUAUCUAAAAAGCUCAACGGCUAAAUCUUGCCUUACUGUUUGAUUAUCAACAAAUCU
This 2571-nucleotide ribosomal RNA is filed under the name Fusarium oxysporum f. sp. melongenae. RNAcentral's name for it is "bacterial LSU rRNA". The stretch from base 1 to 1861 matches the Rfam family "Bacterial large subunit ribosomal RNA". The record is from RNAcentral. Lineage: Eukaryota; Fungi; Ascomycota; Sordariomycetes; Hypocreales; Nectriaceae.